RNA transcript from Musa acuminata AAA Group (dessert banana), 4470 nucleotides. It is a transcript of the gene named pentatricopeptide repeat-containing protein At5g66520-like, with no coding region annotated. The record is from RefSeq and is a predicted model, not a curated record. NCBI's taxonomy places the organism in Eukaryota, Viridiplantae, Streptophyta, Magnoliopsida, Zingiberales, Musaceae. The transcript has 3 exons.
UCUACAGCAAAUAGGGUGGGAUUAAAUGAAUGGAUUCAAUAUUUCAUGCAAAUCUCUGGCAUCUUUACUUUUUCUUUGACUAAUUUGUUGUAAGUAUACUUAUCUUUCAUCUCUGUUAUCUUUUAUUCUGUAUUUGUGUGUUAGAUAGAUUGUGUGAAAUUUAAAUUAUGUUGAAAUUUGGUGAAAUAAUAAAUAAAAAAUGAUGUUUCCAAAUUUCAAUACUGCCAUCGUUCGUCAAUGGUAAAAUAGAAUAAUCAUGAAUUCAACGACACACGUGUAACAACACCCAAUGAAUUAGGGUUUCCAAGAUGAGAUCUCGACCGUUCAAGCACGGCAAUCAGAACCCUAAUCCGACUCGCCAUUCCUUGUCUAUAAAUAGGAGCGGGGGACUACCGCUCCUCCUCCUGCUUCCCUCUGCCGCCUGGAUACCGGCCGUUCUCCUUCCCAGUUGUCGAAGGCUGCCGCCGACAAGUAAUCCCUCCAUCACCUAUGCCUACCCUCUGCUGUUUAUCUUUGAAGCUGCGUUGAAUGUCUCUUGAAACAUGGAGGAAAAAGGCAGCUACAACCAGUGUGGAUAUUUAUGCUUCCUCGCUAUCUCUGGUGCACUCUGUUUCGUUAACCAUGGUUUGGACAACGAUGAUGAACCCUACAGACCUGUAAUGAUUAUUGCAGAUAUGAUUGCAUAAUCAAAGAACAUCUAAGGGACUGAGUUGUCAACCUCGCAAGCUGUUUUAAGACGCAGGAGGUUUUUUUUUAUCUCAUAUAGUUUUUUUUCCCCCUUGAAAUGUUUGAUAAAUUAAAUUUAUUUACAGUGAUGUCAAGUUCCAAAAUAAUGACUUUUCUUGUAUUCCAAAACAACGGACAGCGAUGAUGAGCCUACAGACCUGUAAUGAUCAUUGCUGAUAUGAUUGCAUAAUCAAAGAACAUCUAAGGGACUGAGUUGUCAACCUCACAGGCUGUUUUAAGAUGCAGGAGGCUUUUAUAUCUAAUCUAGGGCUUUUUUUCUUGAAAUGUUUGCAUAAUACAAUGAUGUCAGCUUCCAAAAUACUGACAUAUGUAUUUGAAAAUAAUGGACAAUGAUGUAAUGAUUAUUACAGAUAUUAUUGCAUAGUCAAAGAACAUCAAGGGACUGAGUUGUCAACGUACAGGCUGUUAAAAUGCAAUGAGUUUUCUUUAUAUCUCAUCUAUUGUUUUUUUGCUUCAUAUGGUUGUGUAAUGAAAUUGAUCUAUGAUAAUGCCAGGUUCCAAAAGAAUGGCUUUUCCUGUAUUUCAAAUUAAUAGACAACAAUGAUGAGCCUACGGACUUGUAAUGAUUAUUGAAGAUAUGCUUGCACAAUCAAAGAACAUCUAAUGGACUAUGUUGUCAACCUUGCAAGUUGUUUUAAGAUGUGGGAGGUCUUUAUGUUUCAUCUAGUGGUUUUUUGAAAUGUUUGUGUAAAUUAAAUUUAUCUAAAUGAUGUUAGAUUUUAAAAUAAAUAAUGGACAACGAUGAUGAGCCUACUAGACCUGUAAUGAUUAUUGCAGAUAUGAUUGCAUAAUCAAAGAACAUCUAAGGGACUGAGUUGUUAACCUUGCAAACUGUUUUAAGAUGCAUGAGGUUUUUAUUUCUUUCUCACCUAGUACUUUUUUUUCUCUUGAAAUGUUUGCACAAAUAAAUUUAUCUACACUGAUGUCAGGUUCUAAAACAAUCGAUUUUCCUGUAUUCUUUUAACAUUUUGCAUCGUUACUUGGUCACUGAGGAUUAUCUCUUUUUCAAAAGUAAUCUUUUUCUUGUUAUCAUGUCCAUCAGUUAUCUAUUGCAUGUCUCACAUAUGCUAUCCAAGGAUCCCAGCUUGCCUUCCCAUACAGUCUUGGCUGCUUGUUCAGGUGGUGGCUAAUGGGAUUGCAGAAACAAUACAUCGUUUUGACAAGCAGGAACAAGAAUUCUGUUCAUGAGGGCAGUGGUUGAUCUGUUCACCUAUAGCCACUUUUAAUUACUCUUGCAAAACCCUAGACAUUGGACAUUCUGAUUUAGUUUGUUUCAGGUUGUCCUGUGAGAUCAUGUCAUUAGAGUUGAAGUCAUUUCACAUAAUACAACAAGAAAACCACCAAUUUUAGAUGUCUGGGAGAACUUUCUGGUCUAAAGGAUGCUCAGCUUGUCCUCUCUUGCUUCUUGGAAACCAUACUCAAGAGAUCUACAGCAGCAUUUGUUCUUGAUGCUUCAAGGAUGCAAGAGCAUGAAGCAACUUACUCAGUUGCAUGCGAAAUUGGUGGUUAAUGGCUUUUCCUGCAAGAAUGUCCUCAUCACCAAGCUUCUCUCCUGCUGCAUUGUGUCAGGGAAUAUAACAUAUGCAUCUCUAGCUUUUGACCAGGUUGAGGAACCAAACACCACCCUCUGCAACCAAAUGAUCAGGGCAAUUUUUCAUGGAGAUAUGCCAGAGAGCUCCUUUACCAUCUACAAUUGGAUGAGAAGAAGAGGGAGGACAGAUACGCUGCAGCCCAAUGGUUUCACAUAUACCUUCCUCCUUGCUGCCUGUGCUAAGGCCGGGCCAAAUUUCUUGCCACAAGGGGAGCAAUUGCACUGUAGAAUCAUUUCUGGUGGCUUUGAUUCCAGUGUGUACAUUCAGACUAAUUUAAUAAAUAUGUAUGCUGCCUCUGCCACCAUGAGAGGUGAGUCUAUCGCUAAAGCUCAUAAGAUAUUCGAAGAGAUGCCCCGGAGAAACAUUGUGUCAUGGAACACCAUGUUGGCUGGAUAUUUGCAAUCUGGGGAUGUGCCAACGGCAUUUAGGUUCUUUGAUGACAUGCCUGCUAAGGACAAAGUGUCGUGGACCACCAUGAUUGCAGGUUGUGCGCAGGCCGGUAUGAGUGGUCAGGCACUCACUCUAUUUAGUCAGAUGAGGAUAUCUCGAGUAAAACCUGAUCAAGUUACAAUGAUCGCUGUCCUGUCAGCAUGUGCAUAUUUGGGAGACUUGGAAUUGGGACGUUGGAUCCAUGCACAUGUCUGCAAUUUCUGGCAUGGAAGAGAAUGUCUAGUGAAUCUGAGUAAUGCACUCAUCCACAUGUAUGUUAAAUGUGGAGCUAUUGAUGAUGCAUUUCAGGUCUUCACCGAGAUGCCUCGUAAAAGCACUGUCACGUGGACGACCAUGAUCGCAGGCCUUGCAACCCAUGGUUAUGGUGAUCAGGCACUAGAUCUAUUCCAAAGAAUGCAGUGCAAGGGAUCAGAAAAUGAGAAGCCAGAUUGGUUGACCUUUAUUGCAGUUCUAUGUGCCUGCAGUUACACGGGUAGGAUUGACAAGGGGCUUUGCUACUUUGAGCAGAUGAUUUCAAUGUAUGGAAUCAGACCAAAAAUACAACACUAUGGAUGCAUUGUUGACAUGCUCAGCCGUGCAGGUCACUUGAACAAAGCCCAAGAGCUGAUUAAAAUGAUGCCAGUGGAACCUAAUUCUGCUAUCUGGGGAGCCUUGCUUGGUGGCUGUUGGAUACAUAAGGAUGAUAAACUUGCAGGCCAGGUGAUCCACAGAAUUAUGGAACUCGAACCAGACCAGGUGGCUGGCCACCUUGUCUCUGUAUCCAAUUUGUAUGUUGCAUCUAUGAAGCGAGGUGAUAGUCAAAUGUUCAGAGAUAUGAUGUUGGAAUUGGGCAUUAGAAAGCCUGCUGCUUGCAGCUUAAUAUAUGCAAAUGGGUCUAAUUCAUGACUUCUUGGCUGAUAACUGGAGCUUCCAUCUUUGUUCAGCCACAUCAAGUAUUUCAUCGGAUGCCGCCAAUACCGGUGAUCGGGCAAGAGGCAGCUCAUGACUUUCUAAUGCACAAUGUCUGCUCCAUUUCUGGUUCUAGCGCACAAAAUUGGUAAUCUAAAUGAAGAGAUUGUCAAACUACAUAGAGCCAUGACGAGUUUUUGUUCCAAAGGUUGUCUGUACUAGAGAGGAUGGUGCUCUCAUCUUGUCUCAUAUUUUGUUCCUUUGAAGAUUGGUCCAUUCUAAUUCCAACGACAAUUUUAUUGGACACCUGUAUUUGGUUGUCUGGAUUACAGAGGUCGGAAGAUUGAUGCACCUUUGUACAAGAUGCUAUUUGGUUGUCUUGACGUUUAGAGGUGUAAUUUUUUCUUGGUAGUCAGGUCAUUGAGGAACAUAUGUCAAUUGCAAUUCUUGCUAGGUAGUUGCCUUUAUAAUCUUUGUGGAUUAUUUUUAUUGUUAUUGUUACUUUUAUGUUUAUUUGGGGUGUUGUUGUGUUUUCUCCAUUAACUUGAUGAGCCACUAUUGAACAGCAAUGAUGUCUACAUAAACAUACAAUUGGAUCUUUGGAGUGUUUUAUUAAGGUGGCGAUGUAGGCUGGCUGUCUAUUAUUUCAGCAAGCAUUUGUAUUUCAUCUAGAACUUAGCUGGCUUCUGUUUCUACCAUGACUUGUACUUUUGCCUUUGAAGUGUUCUGUAUAUGAUAUAGUGAAUGUAAUGACUUUUUGUUGCUUAGUCUGAUCAUUGAAGAUUUAUUUUCA